GGCGUCUGGUACCUGCUGAGGAAGCACUGGAUUGCCAACAACCUUUUUGGCCUGGCCUUCUCCCUUAAUGGAGUAGAGCUCCUGCACCUCAACAAUGUCAGCACUGGCUGCAUCCUGCUGGGUGGACUCUUCAUCUACGAUGUCUUCUGGGUAUUUGGCACCAAUGUGAUGGUGACAGUGGCCAAGUCCUUCGAGGCACCAAUAAAAUUGGUGUUUCCCCAGGAUCUGCUGGAGAAAGGCCUCGAAGCAAACAACUUUGCCAUGCUGGGACUUGGAGAUGUCGUCAUUCCAGGGAUCUUCAUUGCCUUGCUGCUGCGCUUUGACAUCAGCUUGAAGAAGAAUACCCACACCUACUUCUACACCAGCUUUGCAGCCUACAUCUUUGGCCUGGGCCUUACCAUCUUCAUCAUGCACAUCUUCAAGCAUGCUCAGCCUGCCCUCCUAUACCUGGUCCCCGCCUGCAUCGGUUUUCCUGUCCUGGUGGCGCUGGCCAAGGGAGAAGUGACAGAGAUGUUCAGUUAAAAAUUCCAGAGCUGUAACAGAGAGCACCCUCAUGCUCCAGCUACCCCACAGAGGCCAGCAGUAUUACACAGACAUUCAGACACCUGUGCACUGACGUGUGUAUACUUUUUCUUGCACAGAUGGUGGCAUUCUUGGAGCAUUCUGCACCUUGGGUUUCUACGGUAUUUCUUAGAGGUGUUUCCACAGCAGCACAUACACUUCUAGAGCAUGCUUGUUCUUUUGCACAGCGGCCUGAUGUGCCUUUGCUUAGGUGCAUCUUUUCUUUUUUCAUUCUCCAAAUAUCAACUUCUUUCCAUAAAAUCUGGAAGUGCAAAAAUAGGUAAAAACAAGACGGUUCUG
This 861-nucleotide small RNA is filed under the name Pongo abelii (Sumatran orangutan). RNAcentral describes it as "processed transcript". The record is from RNAcentral. Lineage: Eukaryota; Metazoa; Chordata; Mammalia; Primates; Hominidae.